This is a non-coding RNA of Ictidomys tridecemlineatus (thirteen-lined ground squirrel), 1372 nucleotides long. The record is from RefSeq and is a predicted model, not a curated record. NCBI's taxonomy places the organism in Eukaryota, Metazoa, Chordata, Mammalia, Rodentia, Sciuridae.
CUGCCGAGCUGGCCCUUCUGGAAACGCAGACACCAGCGAGGCCCCUGUAGGUAAAGAAAGGACAGCAGGGCCCCUCUUGCCAGUCUGGCACCAGCCUGUUGCCUGGGAAUGUUCUGGAUGAAAGGCUCAGACCCCGAUCCCCCGGGGCCCCUGCAGAUCACGCCUUGGGAACCCUGCUGAAGCCUGGGCUCCACCUUUGUCCCUUGUCGACUAACGAGACCCUCAGAAGUCUGGGGGCCUGUCAUUUUAAGUCUGGGGAUGUCCUCGUAGGAGAUUUGGAGAAACUUCCAGAAGAACUAUAUCAGCCCAUUACAGUGGAGUGAAGGAAUCCUGGGCACCCCAACUCAGGUGGUCGGCUCUCUCUGAGGUGUAGGAAAGAGACGGAGAUACUGUUCAGAUGAGGAAAUCUGUAGUCCAACAUAAAAACAUAGCUUACCUAAGGUCACAGAGCUUGGCAGCACAGGGAUCCCAGAUCUCAGAUUCCAAAGAUGACGUCGUUUCUCUCUGAGUUCUUCCACGUCCACUGGCUACAGGGACUUGGGCCGGCAGAAUCUCUGAUGUCAACGCUGAACACACCUGGUCCAGCACUCUUAUGUACCCAGAAACAAAUGGAUGUCACUUGUGUCCUUUGCUGGGCUGCAUGCUGCUGGCUGGCCCUCUUUCUUGACAUCAUUCCACAGGUCUCAUGGCUGGCCAGGCUGUUCUCCAUGCCCUUCAAGUCAUCAGUGUCGUGAAAAUGAGACUUCUUUAUUUCUUUGCCAUAAGACCUCCCCCUGGUAGGUGAUACCUCGAUGCUCUUUCAAACCAACCUAUUACCUUUUGUACUAUUUUUCUUUUUUUAAAUUAUGUAAUUUUUUUUACAUACAUGGCAAUACUGGAAUGCAUUACACUCAUUAUUACCCAUUUACAGCACAAUUAUGUACUAUUUCUCUAAAAUUCUGUGACCACUGAUCGGAGUGACUGGGUGGUCACUUCAGAAUUUGGUAUGUGUGUGAUGAAACUGGUCUAUUCCCAAUGUUACGAUUUACCUCCUAUCUGUACCAGAUACCUCCAUUUAAAACAGUAUCUUUAGUCAUGGAAGCUGAGCGUCAGAACUGACUUCUUAAAGAAAUGCUUGGUGAUGAGACAGCCCUUAGGAGUACUUGCUAAUAGAGAGCACAUGUUUGGUUUUUUUCCAGAACCAGGGUUUCUGCUCCCUGGUUUCUCCAAGAAGCUGCUUCUCCUGACUCUAUUAGCCACAGGCUCCAACCAACACUAAUGGGCUAAGUAAUUCGACUUCCCUCCGAUGAAGAGUAGCAGAGUUUCCUGAGAGAAACCUUGAGUGAGAGUCGAAAAGAAGAGAGAGCAAAGAACAGAAAAAAAAAAAAAAAGG